This 168-nucleotide ribosomal RNA is filed under the name uncultured bacterium. RNAcentral describes it as "partial 16S rRNA". It matches the Rfam family "Bacterial small subunit ribosomal RNA", at positions 355 to 514 of the family's 1533-position model. The record is from RNAcentral.
UAGGGAAUCUUCGGCAAUGGACGAAAGUCUGACCGAGCAACGCCGCGUGAGUGAAGAAGGUUUUCGAAUCGUAAAACUCUGUUGGUAGAGAAGAACGUUGGUGAGAGUGGAAAGCUCAUCAAGUGACGGUAACUACCCAGAAAGGGACGGCUAACUACGUGCCAGCAG